AGCUGGUAAACGAGAGCGUUUCCUAAAAUUCCCUCGGCCGUGCAUCCGAGUGGCCGGGAUCAUGCAGAUCUUUGCUUGUACAGACUGAUGUGCCUCUUCUCCAGCAGCCAUGCAGGUACACGCGUGAACAGACAAGCUUGGGUCCCGUUUCAGUCUGUCAGCAGAGUUCAGGCCUGCAGCGUAUCAAGCAAAUCGAUCGAUUCCCGUUUCUGCCAUGUACAUGUAGCUGUGCCGCACCGUGCAUGAAAAGCCAUAGCUUUACUUCUACUACUAGGAUCUGCAUUGUUUACUUUUUACCUUUUGAUAAUGCCUUCCUAGAUGUGGCUGUGUUUAGUAGUGAUCUCCGACUCGUCUACUCCAGUAAUCAUGCUCCUGUUGCUCUGCAGCUGCAAACCAUUUUUCAAAGCUCUUUGAGCAGCUCAUGUGGGGCCAAGCCGUAUCUCAUUGUCCAGGAUUUUGAGAGCAUUUUUCUAUCUUUUUUUUUGUAUACAUUUCUUCUUUAGUUACUACGGUAUUGUGCUAUCGCGGCCGGUGUCGUUGAGGCUUGUGUGGAUUCAGAGUAAAGGAACAGGGGCGUAAUUAGUUAAGCUGGGUUUAAUUAUGUGCAUGGGCAUGGCUGCCGCUUUCAACCGUGCAAUCAGUAAUCUAUGUGCACAAUCUCAUACUUGACAUGCGGGCAUGUGGUGGUAAUGAUGCACUCACACCCGAUAAACAAGGGGAGCCAGCCAUCC
Molecule: long non-coding RNA, 731 nt
Filed under: Brachypodium distachyon (stiff brome)
Lineage: Eukaryota; Viridiplantae; Streptophyta; Magnoliopsida; Poales; Poaceae
Description: long non-coding RNA (BDIS_LNC002468)
Source: RNAcentral